This 253-nucleotide ribosomal RNA is filed under the name uncultured bacterium. Its description in RNAcentral is "partial 16S ribosomal RNA". It matches the Rfam family "Bacterial small subunit ribosomal RNA", at positions 524 to 776 of the family's 1533-position model. The record is from RNAcentral.
UACGGAGGGUGCAAGCGUUAUCCGGAUUCACUGGGUUUAAAGGGUGCGUAGGUGGGUUGGUAAGUCAGUGGUGAAAUCUCCGUGCUUAACAUGGAAACUGCCAUUGAUACUACUGAUCUUGAAUCUUCCGGAGGUAAGCGGAAUAUGUCAUGUAGCGGUGAAAUGCUUAGAUAUGACAUAGAACACCAAUUGCGAAGGCAGCUUACUACAGGGAUAUUGACACUGAGGCACGAAAGCGUGGGGAUCAAACAGG